Long non-coding RNA from Terrapene triunguis (Three-toed box turtle), 1809 nucleotides. RefSeq lists it as uncharacterized. The transcript has 4 exons. The record is from RefSeq and is a predicted model, not a curated record. Lineage: Eukaryota; Metazoa; Chordata; Testudines; Emydidae.
GAAUGCAUUAAUCAGGAAAAGAGAAGGUGUGAAGGCCAUUGUUAUAGCCAAAUGGUCAAGGAAGAAGGAGUGGAGAGACUUAACGACAUCAUCGACGCGCAUCCAUAAUGAAGGAAGGGCAGAUUGAUGACCCUGAGGUGUACAAAGAUUCGGACUGGAAAUAACAGUGGCAGGGUGUUCACCAGGGCUAAUGAUGUUGGCACAGUCCUCAAACUACCCAGGCAAACAUAAAGUGGCUACAUAGAAGUGAUCUCAGGGUUUUUUCUUUACUGGUGCACUGCAAUCCUUCCAGACAUCACAUCUAUGCAAACAAAUAAGUAACAUUUGGUGCACCCCAGUCUCUGAACCUCCUUGAAGAGUCUUUCUCUGUGGUAUCGAGCCGCAGUCACUGGACACUCACAGUCUGAAGAUACAGAAGUCACGAGGGGAAACGCUUGCUGAAGCAAGAGAGACACUCAGCUCCGAUGACCGUCACUGGUGGAAAGAAAGAAUUGAGGAGGCGGUGGGUCGGCAGGGACCUAUAUGCAGUGCCAUGAAGGCACAACUCCAGGGGGGCGCACAGGCUGACCCAAUGGGUACUGCUAGGGGAAAAGCCUUCCAACUACUGUGCAUGCUGCAUGCACACACCUACUUGGAAUGGACAUGAGCAACACAUCUUGAAGAACAACAGUUACGAGAAGGUAGGUAACCUUGCAUAGGUGCCCCUGCAUAGGUGGCUGCUGACACAACAACAUGAUCCAGUCCUCCACACCAUUUAUUGUUGUGGAUUUAUAUAGUUUUGUAUAUAUAUAUUUGUGAAAUAUGUCUUUUUAUUGGUCACUGAUCUCACGCAUUUUACCACUCAUCACAAGGUCUUCUUUUUUUAUAAAUUUGUAGCCUGCCUGCUUGUGUACAACAGGUGUCUUUUUGAUUUUUUGGUUGCCUGAAAACUUGGUGACGUUUUCUUACUCCAUCUGACAUCUCCUCUUUAGAAUCAAAGUGGCUAUCUAUAGUAGGGUGACCAGAAAGCAAGUGUGAAAAAUUGGGACAGCGGGUGGGAGGUAAUAGGGUGCCUAUAUAAGAUAAAGCCCCGAAUAUCAGAAUGGUCCCUAUAAAAUCGGGACAUCUGGUCACCCUCAUCUAUAGUCUGGGCCAAGACCUGAGGAAGACCUCUGAGUAACUUGAAAACUUGUCUCUCUCACCAACAGAAGUUGGUCCAAUAAAAGAUAUUACCUCACCCACCUUGUCUGUCUAGUAUGUAGAAAGAUUGUUUAAAUUAUGACACUUUUCUUCUAUAAGCUAUUUUUAAAAAUUCUUAUUUAAUUAAAAAUUCAAAGCAGUCCUAACAUUAUGUCCUCAGAACCUUGUAAUAAAGUAGGUAGCUGUGUGAGCAUCUAUCCUCCAGUUUCCCUUGGCUAUCUGUUCAAUAUUCUUUUGUUUUUUGUAUACUUGGAAAUUGGUUCUAAGUCACCUUUCUACUGUUUAAAAUAAUUGUUAUUGGUUAGUUCUUAGGGGAGAGAAGUUACUUUCUGCUCCCCUCUUUCUUAUAACAGGAUCCAAUGGACCACCUUAGUUUCAGUUCAAAUAGAAUUUCAUAGGAACAAUGAAAUGACUGUAAGCACAUAUUGCCAAUUCUAGACUGCAGGAUUUCUUUCUCCCACCUUGAAAGGUGGCAAGACAAUUACUGGUAUCCUUGUAGAUCUGCUUUAAAGCUGGGCAUAAACUGGCAGUGAAUGAAAUGCAUAACCUUCCAACUCAAUGACAUUUAACCCAACAACACAUCAGUUCAGGCAGCAAAAUAAAUUGGUACUCAGCUGCUCCCUGUCUAUU